Glycine max (soybean) is the source of this 114-nucleotide non-coding RNA. NCBI's taxonomy places the organism in Eukaryota, Viridiplantae, Streptophyta, Magnoliopsida, Fabales, Fabaceae. The record is from Rfam.
UUUUUAUUGAACGAUGACCGUCACGUGUUUGAUUGGAUGUCAACUUCAUGAAAAAUGAAAUACAUUAUUAUUUUUAUUGAUCAAUCAAAACAUGACAUGUGAUAGUCGUUAUUA